AGUGAACGCUGGCGGUAGGCCUAACACAUGCAAGUCGAACGGCAGCACAGUAAGAGCUUGCUCUUACGGGUGGCGAGUGGCGGACGGGUGAGGAAUACAUCGGAAUCUACUUUUUCGUGGGGGAUAACGUAGGGAAACUUACGCUAAUACCGCAUACGACCUACGGGUGAAAGCAGGGGAUCUUCGGACCUUGCGCGAUUGAACGAGCCGAUGUCGGAUUAGCUAGUUGGCGGGGUAAAGGCCCACCAAGGCGACGAUCCGUAGCUGGUCUGAGAGGAUGAUCAGCUACACUGGAACUGAGACACGGUCCAGACUCCUACGGGAGGCAGCAGUGGGGAAUAUUGGACAAUGGGCGCAAGCCUGAUCCAGCCAUACCGCGUGGGUGAAGAAGGCCUUCGGGUUGUAAAGCCCUUUUGUUGGGAAAGAAAAGCAGCAGGUUAAUACCCCGCUGUUCUGACGGUACCCAAAGAAUAAGCACCGGCUAACUUCGUG
Molecule: ribosomal RNA, 492 nt
Filed under: uncultured bacterium
Lineage: Bacteria
Description: partial 16S ribosomal RNA
Rfam family: Bacterial small subunit ribosomal RNA
Source: RNAcentral